GCACAAAGCUAAACAUAGAGACAUCAUAAAGUUAAAGCUCAAAUUUACAUAUGCAUUCUGUAAGUUAGACUUUUAACAACACCAAAAUCUUACAUGAAAAUCAUAUAAAUCAGCCGGGUGAUCCAGUAGUUUGGAAGAACCAUCACAGUUGAAGAUUAUCUUAAUAUCUGGGUAGGCUUUUUUGAUUUCUGAAUGCAACUUGUGUUGGGAAUAAAUCCCGCCACGUUAAUAAUAUUGCGGUAAUAAAGAACAAAAAUUAUGGCAACAUUAAUACAAGAAAAUAACAAGACCAAUAAGAGCGAUAGUGACACCAAGAUUUUUACGUGGAAACCCAAUGAGGGAAAAACCACGGGCCAAGAGGAGCUACUGAUAUCUCUGUAAUAAGAAAUUUCACACCGUAAUCACAAGUACAAUACUCAAAGUGACUACUGCACACUCAAAAGAAAUCUCUCUUUUGAUUUUUCCACCUCACUACAAUAUCGCUCACACUCUUUAUUUUUCCUCACGGACUAAACUCUCUGUGAUGCCUCACUUUCUUUUGUUUCUCUCUUUGUUGGUGUGAUUAAGUGAGCUGAAAUUGCCUCUAUUUAUAGGCAAGAAAUACCCUCUAUUGAUGUCAUUCAUGACAUCAAAUCCCAACAUAUGAAUACACUUUCUUGAAAGGCCAAAGGCCAAAUUGCCAAAGGCCAAUUUGCCAAAGGCCAAUUGACAAAGUAAUAGUUAGGUAUGCACAAAAUCUUGACCAGAUUUUUCUGCUUAUGAACAUGGUCUGGACACUACAAAUCUCCCCCUCCAGUCCUAUGCAUCUGAAGGAGGUAUCCUCGUUCUUCUCAGAAAGAGCUCAUUCCGACAAGUUCUUUGCACAAUUCGAACUUGUCUUUUGGAACCACCUUUAUCAGCAUAUCCACAGGAUUGUCACUGGUCUGAAUCUUCUUGACAUAGAAUGAUUCGUUCUCCACUUGUUCACGAAUCCAAUGGUACCUCACAUCAAUGUGUUUUGUUCUUGCAUGGUACAUGGAGUUCAUGCUCAAAUCUAUUGCACUUUGGCUGUCACAAUAGAGAACGUGCUCCAUUUGCUGCAAUUCAAGUUCUUGAAGAAAUCGUUUCAGCCAUACCAUCUCCUUGCCAGCUUCAGUAGCUGUAAUAUACUCUGCUUCAGUUUUAGAGACUGCGACACACUUCUGCAACUUCGACUGCCAUGAUAUAGCUCCUCCUGAAAAUGUAAACAAAAAUCCAGUAGAAGAUUUUUUGUUAUCAAGAUCACCUGCCAUAUCAGCAUCUGUAUAGCCCUUCAAGAUUGUACCAGCUCCACCAAAACACAAACAGUCUCCUGAGGUUCCUCUUAGGUACCUCAAUAUCCAUUUAACUGCUUCCCAGUGCUCCUUUCCUGGAUUUUCAAGAAACUUGCUAACAACACCAACUGCAUGAGCAAUAUCCGGUCUCGUACACACCAUAGUAUACAUCAAACUCCCUCCUGUGAAUAAUAAGGAACAUUAGCCAUAUUUCCUUUCUCUUCCUUUGUUGUAGGACACGUUUUCUUUCUUAACUUUAGAUGACCAGCAAGAGGUGUGCUAACAACUUUAGCACUCUUCAUGUUGAAUCAUUCGAGUACAUUUUCCAUGUACUUCUCCUGAGAUAGCCACAACUUUCUGCUUGUUCGUUCUCAAACAAUCUUCAUCUUCAGAAUUUGUUGUGCUGGGCCCAAGUCCUUCAUGUCAAAUGACUUGGACAAAUCUCUCUUCAACUUGGCAAUCAGCUCCUUGUCUUGUCCUACAAUCAACAUGUAAUCCACAUACAACAACAAAAUAAUAAAGUUGUUGUUCGAAAAUCUUUUGAAGUAUACACAUGGAUCAGAAUAAGUCCUUUUAUAGGUUUGACUUUGCAUGAAUGAGUCAAACUUCUUGUACCACUGCCUUGGUUCCUGCUUCAAUCCAUAAAGGCUUUUAUUCAUUUUACAGACCAUGUGUUUCUUUUCAUCUACUUCAAAUCCUUUUGGCUGGUCCAUAUAGUUUUGUUCUUCCAAAUCUCCAUGAAGAAAUGCAGUUUUUACAUCCAACUGCUCCACUUCAAGAUCUAGGCUAGCUGCUAAGCUCAAAAUGGUUCGAAUAGAAGUCAUUUUGACAACGGGUGAGAAGAUUUCAUCAAAAAUCAAUACCUUUUUUCUGUUCGAAGACUUUUACCACCAAUCGAGCUUUAUAUCUGACCAGCUUGCCAUUUCUAUCUUUCUUGAGUUUAAAGACCCACUUGCACUUAAGUGGUCUUUUACCCUUUGGAAGUUCAACCAGCUUGUACGUGCCAUUUUGCUGCAAAGAUUCCAUCUCUUCUUGUAUUGCUUCCAUCCACUGAUUCUUUUUUGGAUGGACCAACACCUCCUUUAGACUUUCUGGCUCCCCCUCAUCAUUGAUAAGGACAUAUUCUAAGGAAGGGUACUUGGAUGACUCUACCCUUUGCCUCUCGGACCUCCUCAAAGGUUGAGAUUGUUGUUCUUCUUGAGUAGGGUGCUCCACCUGCUCAGCAUCAGGUUGCUCCCCCUGAUCGGCAUAAUCAUUAGGUUGCUCCCCCUGCUCGGCAACCUCAUCAGCUGUACUUUCUGCACUUCUAGGAUGAACAGAGGUGGAAGGAAUGGUAAUAACAUUAGGGACUACACCAUUGACCUUCUCUAAUACGUCAUCAGCAAUUUUGACUUCACUUUCUCGAAAGACUACAUCUCUGCUUCUGAUGACCUUCUUCUUUACAGGAUCCCACAAUCUGUACUCAAAUUCUUUAUCUCCAUAUUCGAUGAAUACGCAAGGAACUGAUUUAUCAUCUAGUUUUGUUCUAUGCUCUUUCGGUACAUGUGCAAAAGCUCUGCAAUCGAACACCUUCAGAUGAGAGUAGGACACCUCUUUGUUGGUCCAAACUCUCUCUGGGAUGUCAAACUCCAAUGGAACUAAUGGACUACGAUUGAUCAGGUAGCAGGCCGCCUGAAUUGCUUCACCCCCGAAAUGACUUAGGCAGUUUAGCCAUUUUGAGCAUGCUUCUCACUUUCUCAACAAUGGUGCGAUUCAUUCGCUCAGCUACACCAUUGUGUUGUGGGGUUCCAGGAACUGUCUUCUCAUGUCUGAUCCCGUGACUUGAACAAUACUCUUUAAAUUCCCUUGAAGUGUACUCACCUCCAUUGUCAGUGCGGAGACGCUUUAGCUUUCGACCCAUCUCCCUUUCCACCAGAGCAUGAUACUUUUGGAAUACUUGAAAUACCUGAUCUUUGGUUUUCAAGAUAUAAACCCACAAUUUUCGUGAAGCAUCAUCAAUAAAAGUAACAAAAUAUUUGUUACUGCCCAUCGAUUCUAUCUCUAUUGGACCACAAACAUCAGAAUAUACCAGGUCAAGUAUAUUCAAUUUUCUUUCAGACUAUGUCUGAAAUGAAACUCUAUGCUGCUUACCGAAUAAGCAGUGGUCACAUGAUUUUGCCGUCGUACCUUUUGAAAAAGAGAUGAGUGAUUUCUUAGCGAGGAUUUCUAAUCCUUUCUCGCUCAUAUGACCCCUUCUUUUGUGCCACAAAUCUGCAGAGAUCUCUUCUCGAACUGCAUUCAAUUCACCUCAGCAAAUUUCUGCAUUUGUCCUACACAACAUGCCACAAGCAACUCCUUUUGCGAUCAGCAAUGCUCCCUUGGUGAGUUUCCAUUUUUGAUUUGCAAAAUAGUUCUCGUAUCCAUCUCGAUCCAAAGCAAUUUUGGAGAUCAAGUUCAACCGCAAAUUGGGUACAUGACGCACAUCUUUUAGAACCAAUGUGCAUCUAACAUUAGUCUUGAUACUAAUGUCUCUGAUCCCCACAAUCUUUGAAUAACUUGAGUUACCCAUUUUCACAGUGACAAAAUCACCUGCUUUAUACUUGCAGAAAAGAUCCCUUACCGGUGUAGCAUGGUAAGAUGCUGCUGUGUCAACCACCAAUUCCGUCUUUGUCUCUGCCAAGUGCAUGCACUCCUCUUCCUCAUUUAUGAAGAGAACAUCAUCAUCAUUAUUUUGCACUGUGGCAGUAGUGUUGUCGUCAUUCUUCUGGCCACUACUUUCACCUUUGUCCUUUUUCAGAUUUGGACAAUCUUUUUUGAAGUGACCUGGUUGAUUGCAGUUGUAGCACUUUCUGACUUUUGAUUUGGAUCGGAACUUGGACUUUCCACGACCUUCGGUUCUACCAUAACUAUCUGAACUCCUUUGAUUACUUCUGCCUCUACUUUCUGUGAUGAGAGUCUGCCCAUGAUUUUCAGGCUUAUUUCUCAUCUUCUCAUGGAGUAGAAGAGCUGAUGUGACAUCUUUCAGCUCAAUAAAGUCCUUGCCAUGUAAAAUGGUUGUUGCCAAAGUAUCAUAAGAAGAUGGCAACGAGUUCAAUCGUAUGAUGACUUUAUCUUCCUCCUCGAUCUUUACACCGAGGUUAGCCAACUGCGUGAUCAGUCCAUUAAGCACAUUUAAAUGUGACAAGAAAUUUGUACCUUCACCCAUAUGUAGGGCGUACAACUGCUUCUUUAGGUACAAUUUAUUUGUCAGCGUUUUGGACAUGUAGAGAUUUUCUAACUUUGUCCAAAUAUCACAUGCACUAUCUUCGUCGCUGAUGUUAUUGACCAAAUCAUCUGUUAAAUGCAACCUGAUUGCACUAGCAGCCUUUUCAUCCAUUUCUUCCCAAUCCUCCAGUUUCAUGGAUUCGGGCUUUUUGGACUUGCCACUUAGUGCCUUGUGUAAUCCUUGUUGGAUAAGCAGAUCCCUCAUCCUCCUCUGCCAUGUUGAGAAACCGCUAUCACCGUUGAAUUUUGCUACCUCGUACUUUACUCCGGACAUUUUAUUUUUACCGAGUAUAGUACCACCAACCGCAAAUAUUAUUUUUGUGAAAAAGCAGAACCUGCGCUUUGAUACCAGGUGUUGGGAAUAAAUCCCGCCACGUUAAUAAUUUGCGGUAAUAAAGAACAAAAAUUAUGGCAACAGUAAUACAAGAAAACAACAAGAACAAUAAGAGCGAUAGUGACACCAAAAUUUUUACGUGGAAACCCAAUGAGGGAAAAACCACGAGCCAAGAGGAGCUACUGAUAUCUCUGUAAUAAGGAAUUUCACACCUUAAUUACAAGUACAGUACUCAAAGUGACUAUUGCACACUCAAGAGAAAUCUCUCUUUUAAUUUUUCCACCUCACUACAAUAUCGUUCACAUUCUCUAUUUUUCCUCACAGACUAAACUCUCUGUGAUGCCCCACUCUUCUUUUGUUUCUCUCUUUGUUGGUGUGAUUAAGUGAGCUGAAAUUGCCUCUAUUUAUAGGCAAGAAAUACCCUCUAUUGAUGUCAUUCAUGACAUCAAAACCCAACAAAUGAAUAAACUUUCUUGAAAGGCCAAAGGCCAAUUGACAAAGUAAG
Molecule: long non-coding RNA, 5374 nt
Filed under: Capsicum annuum
Lineage: Eukaryota; Viridiplantae; Streptophyta; Magnoliopsida; Solanales; Solanaceae
Description: long non-coding RNA (CANN_LNC016663)
Source: RNAcentral